Long non-coding RNA from Schistocerca gregaria, 1317 nucleotides. RefSeq lists it as uncharacterized. The transcript has 3 exons. The record is from RefSeq and is a predicted model, not a curated record. Lineage: Eukaryota; Metazoa; Arthropoda; Insecta; Orthoptera; Acrididae.
UUCAAAAUCGCUGUGUUGUGACAGUCUUGCACAGUAUUCACUUUCACAUAGUGUUCAUUACAAGUUGUUAUACCAGCAUAAAUGGCGUGUUGAGUCCGGUGACACUAUAAGAUUGAGUGUGUGCGUGAUCUGAAGCAACGUCCAUGUCUUCUGUUACGACACAACACUCCAGGUACUUGUGCGUUUUCAUGACUAUUGUUCCCGGGGCAUAUAUGGUCGAUGUAGUUUUUAACUUCCACAUCGCCUACGACAGGUGCUGAGUUUAUUGUCUCCAAAGCAUCUGAAGGCCGGCCAGGAACAACGGCGUCGAUGUUCGCAAAUUGCAGCACCUCCUGGUGCAGUUUUUGUCUGCACCACCACUACUCAUCAAGCCAUAGUGCAUGGAUGGACCACCUGAUAUUUCUGAGUAGGAGCUGCAAUUAUUUCCAAAGAGAUCAACGAACACUGUCUCCAGACAGAAUAAGGGAGAAAAAGACUCACAAUGCUCCUGAUGCAUUGGAUUUGAAUUCAACAGUAAUUGGUAUACCACAGCAGAACGUGAAAUUCUUCAAGUUUCCACUAACUUCAACUGUGAAGUCACAUCGCAUAGAUGGACUACCAAAUAAUCAGAGCAGGACACAAAACCAUUUGCUGCAGCAGUACCAUCUUUCACUGAUCCACUGCUAUAUGGUCCCAGUGUGCUGUUGUUCACCGGGAUACAUAAUUUGACUGGCAGUGGAUCGAAAUAUGUAAAUAUAGGUAUAGAAGUAUAGAGUGAUUGUGAGGUGAUAAUUAUCAAGAGUAUCAAACAUGGUGCUAAAGUGGAGUUUACAGAGACUGUGUGGGAUGCAUUAUUUGGAAAGUUGGAGUACAUUGAUUCUCAGAUGAUGACCAAGUAUGACUUGCCUCACACUCUAAUCAACAUCCACCCCUUUGGUAUUUACGUAUCCAUUAUUGAAAUGUAUGGACGCAACACUCAAGGUAACAUUUUGGUUGUUAUGAACUUGCAUGGUCUAUUUGCAUACCAGAUUGUGACAGACAGCUGAGUCAUUAAUGAUCAUAUGUCAAUGCUGUAUUCAGUGACUUUGGAAUUUACCUUUGUGAGCACAGUGAAUAGGUGGAUGACUUAGAACAGUGUAUAUAUUCAUGUGUUCCUGCAUUGCCAAGGUCAGCUACUAUCACAUUCAGAAGUACUGAGUCCAUUCAAACCAAAUUUACAGGUGAAAUAACUAACUGUUUGGUCACUCUCAUCAGUUUUGAUAUGUUGCAGUGUGAAUCAAAGCAUGUAAGAAAUCGUUAUUUAGGCAGUACUGCAGUUUGGAUGCUGUAGAAAAAAAA